GGGAACUGAAACAUCUAAGUACCUGGAGGAAAGGACAUCAAUCGAGACUCCGUUAGUAGUGGCGAGCGAACGCGGACCAGGCCAGUGAUACAUCAAAGACAAUCGGAACCAGUCAGGAAAGCUGGGCCUCAGAGGGUGAUAGCCCCGUACGAGUAAUGCGAUGAUGUAUCCACGAGUAAGGCGGGACACGUGUAAUCCUGUCUGAACACGGGGGGACCACCCUCCAAGCCUAAGUACUCCUCAGCGACCGAUAGUGAACCAGUACCGUGAGGGAAAGGUGAAAAGCACCCCGAUGAGGGGAGUGAAACAGUACCUGAAACGGAUUGCCUACAAGCAGUUGGAGGGUCCUUGAGGCCUGACAGCGUACCUCUUGCAUAAUGGGUCUGUGACUUAAUGUAUCAAGCAAGCUUAAGCCGUUAGGUGUAGGCGCAGCGAAAGCGAGUCUGAAUAGGGCGCCAGAGUUUGAUGUAUUAGACCCGAAACCCGGCGAUCUAGGCAUGACCAGGAUGAAGGUGCGGUAACACGCACUGGAGGUCCGAACCGAUUAACGUUGAAAAGUUACCGGAUGAGUUGUGUUUAGGGGUGAAAGGCCAAUCAAGCCGGGAAAUAGCUGGUUCUCCGCGAAAACUAUUGAGGUAGUGCCUCGAGCGAAUACCGUAGGGGGUAGAGCACUGGAUGGAUGCGGGGGUCGCGAGAUCUACCAACUCUAACCAAACUCCGAAUACCAACGAGUAUAGUACGGGAGACAGACGGCGGGUGCUAAGGUCCGUCGUCGAAAGGGAAACAGCCCUGACCUACAGCUAAGGUCCCCAAGUCAUCACUAAGUGGGAAAGCAUGUGGAACUUCCAAAACAACCAGGAGGUUGGCUUAGAAGCAGCC
This 879-nucleotide ribosomal RNA is filed under the name Anophryoides haemophila. Its description in RNAcentral is "partial Bacterial large subunit ribosomal RNA". It matches the Rfam family "Bacterial large subunit ribosomal RNA", at positions 188 to 1117 of the family's 2925-position model. Lineage: Eukaryota; Ciliophora; Oligohymenophorea; Philasterida; Glauconematidae. The record is from RNAcentral.